UACAGAGACUGCAAGCGUUGUUCGGAUUCACUGGGCGUAAAGGGUGCGCAGGCGGCCGGGUGUGUCGGGUGUGAAAGCUCGAGGCUUAACCUCGAAACUGCGCCCGAAACUAUCCGGCUAGAGUACUGGAGAGGGAAGCGGAAUUCACGGUGUAGCAGUGAAAUGCGUAGAUAUCGUGAGGAAGACCAGUGGCGAAGGCGGGUCUCUGGACAGUUCCUGACACUGAGGCACGAAGGCCAGGGGAGCAAACGGG
This 253-nucleotide ribosomal RNA is filed under the name uncultured prokaryote. RNAcentral's name for it is "partial 16S ribosomal RNA". It matches the Rfam family "Bacterial small subunit ribosomal RNA", at positions 524 to 776 of the family's 1533-position model. The record is from RNAcentral.